This 1000-nucleotide long non-coding RNA is filed under the name Callithrix jacchus (white-tufted-ear marmoset). RNAcentral's name for it is "lncRNA (ENSCJAG00000073982.1)". Lineage: Eukaryota; Metazoa; Chordata; Mammalia; Primates; Cebidae. The record is from RNAcentral.
UUUCAGGAAAUUCCAGAUCAGAACCCAGCCCCCACACUGCAAGAAGCCCAAGCCAUAUGUAGAGGGCAUGUUACAUUGCUCUGUUCAACAGCCUCAACUGAGCCACACUUAGAUGUGGAAGAUGCCUUAGAAGUGAUUUCUCUAGAAUAGCUGUUAAAGUCCCGGAUCAUUUGAGUCCCAGACAUUGUGAAGCAAGGGAACCAAUCCUGUUGUGUACUUUCUUACCCACUGAUCUGACCGACUGAUUUUGGACGUGGAUGAAUCUGGAGAACGUCAUCCUCAGCAAACUGACACAAGAACAGAAAAUGAAACACCGCAUAUUCUCACUCAUAGAGGCAGGGUCUUGCUAUGUUGUCCAAGCUAGUCUUAAACUCCUGGGCUCAAGUGAUUCUUUGGCCACAACCCCCAAUUCCUGGGAUUAUAGAGGUAGAGUUUCAUUCUUGUUGCCCAGGCUGGAGUGCAAUGGAGUGAUCUCGGCUCACUGCAAACUCUGCCUCCAGGAACAAGCAAUCAUCCUGUUUUAGCCUCCAGAGUAGCUGGGAUAACAGACUACUCAUGAUAUAUACUCAGAUUCUACAAUCAAAUAUACUAUAUGCCAUGAUGUUAUAAGUUACUUCAACUUCAAAUUCAAAGUAAAUUAAAUAUCCCUUUUUAUAUAUCUCUCCAAGUGGUUAGAGUUCUUCUUUUGGUACUUACUGACUUUAUUCAAAUUAGAGUUCUUCUCAGCAAAGUAGCUGAGAAUAUCCAGAUUUUAUUUAUAAAAAGUAUUUCAGAUGUUAUAUUUCUUUUAUAACAUAAAAGUAAUCAAUAAGAGGAUGAGAAGAUUCACUGAAUACUGGAGGGAUUUGAAGGAAAGAUUCUGUUCCAUUCUCACUGCCAGAAGGUCAGAUUCAAUUGGAUGCCACACUUUUGUUUUUGCUGUUGUAACUCUGAAGUGGAAUUCUAAACAGCAAAGGAGACGAAAAAGAUUCACAAGAGUUCAAAAGGUUUUUAUGAAGAA